This 591-nucleotide long non-coding RNA is filed under the name Apteryx rowi (Okarito brown kiwi). Its description in RNAcentral is "lncRNA (ENSARWG00000012154.1)". Lineage: Eukaryota; Metazoa; Chordata; Aves; Apterygiformes; Apterygidae. The record is from RNAcentral.
AUGAGAAUAUUGGAAAAACUCUCUACAUGGAAACAGCCUCUGGAUACUUCAGGCGGAGAAGAUAUAACAAAGGGCACUCUCAACAGAAAUGAUUGUUACAUUGCCAGAUGGUAUAAGGUCUGGUCUCCUCAUUGCGGAGGGUUCUGCGAUUCUGUUGUUUGGUCACGGGAUGGUGACGGAGAGCAAAAGCAAAGCCUUAACAAGCAUGGUUCAAAGAACUCAAACUUUGCCCUAGACCCUAUAUGUGGUGUGAUAUUGCAGCCAAUGGCAGGAAAGUAGCUUCUGAAAGUGAGGUUGAGCUUCGUUUGUGGAAACCCACUGGGCUACGUGGGAGGGGAGGCUGGUGCAGGUGGUGGCAGCGGAGGCCUCCUGGCCCAGGGGAGCGUGGCCGGAGGCAGCCCAGGGUGCAGUGGACGAGAAGAUGCACAGGGAGGGACGCGUCACUCGUUUCUGAAUGCCCUGACUUCACUCCUGGUUGAGUUGUGUCCUUCAACAGUGGGCAGUCUCCCCUACUGCAUCUUACAUACUGCUGUAUUUAGGCCAGUACCAGGUUUGAAAUAAAAAUCAAGCCCUCCUCUUGUGUGUAGUUCA